Molecule: ribosomal RNA, 572 nt
Filed under: uncultured bacterium
Lineage: Bacteria
Description: partial 16S ribosomal RNA
Rfam family: Bacterial small subunit ribosomal RNA
Source: RNAcentral
UGGGGAAUAUUGCACAAUGGGCGCAAGCCUGAUGCAGCCAUGCCGCGUGUGUGAAGAAGGCCUUCGGGUUGUAAAGCACUUUCAGCGAGGAGGAAGGUGGUGAGCUUAAUACGCUCAUCAAUUGACGUUACUCGCAGAAGAAGCACCGGCUAACUCCGUGCCAGCAGCCGCGGUAAUACGGAGGGUGCAAGCGUUAAUCGGAAUUACUGGGCGUAAAGCGCACGCAGGCGGUUUGUUAAGUCAGAUGUGAAAUCCCCGGGCUCAACCUGGGAACUGCAUUUGAAACUGGCAAGCUAGAGUCUCGUAGAGGGGGGUAGAAUUCCAGGUGUAGCGGUGAAAUGCGUAGAGAUCUGGAGGAAUACCGGUGGCGAAGGCGGCCCCCUGGACGAAGACUGACGCUCAGGUGCGAAAAGCGUGGGGCAGCAAACAGGAUUAGAUACCCUGGUAGUCCAGCGCUGUAAACGAUGUCGAUUUUGGAGGUUGUGCCCUUGAGGCGUGGCUUCCGGAGCUAACGCGUUAAAGUCGACCGCCUGGGGAGUACGGCCGCAAGGUUAAAACUCAAAGGAAUUGAC